UAACGGAGGGGGAUGCGUCUGAUUAGCUNGGUUGGCGGGGCGACGGCCCACCAAGGCGACGAUCAGUAGGGGUUCUGAGAGGAAGGUCCCCCACAUUGGAACUGAGACACGGUCCAAACUCCUACGGGAGGCAGCAGUGAGGAAUAUUGGUCAAUGGGCGGAAGCCUGAACCAGCCAAGUAGCGUGCAGGAGGACGGCCCUACGGGUUGUAAACUGCUUUUAUGCGGGGAUAAAGUGAGGGACGCGUCCCUUUUUGCAGGUACCGCAUGAAUAAGGACCGGCUAAUUCCGUGCCAGCAGCCGCGGUAAUACGGAAGGUCCGGGCGUUAUCCGGAUUUAUUGGGUUUAAAGGGAGCGUAGGCCGGGGAUUAAGUGUGUUGUGAAAUGUAGGCGCCCAACGUCUGACUUGCAGCGCAUACUGGUUCCCUUGAGUACGCGCAACGCCGGCGGAAUUCGUCGUGUAGCGGUGAAAUGCUUAGAUAUGACGAAGAACCCCGAUUGCGAAGGCAGCCGGCGGGAGCGCAACUGACGCUGAAGCUCGAAGGUGCGGGUAUCGAACAGGAUUAGAUACCCUGGUAGUCCGCACGGUAAACGAUGGAUGCCCGCUGUCGGCGCCUUGCGCCGGCGGCCAAGCGAAAGCGUUAAGCAUCCCACCUGGGGAGUACGCCGGCAACGGUGAAACUCAAAGGAAUUGACGGGGGCCCGCACAAGCGGAGGAACAUGUGGUUUAAUUCGAUGAUACGCGAGGAACCUUACCCGGGC
RNAcentral lists this ribosomal RNA (761 nucleotides) under uncultured bacterium. RNAcentral describes it as "bacterial SSU rRNA". It matches the Rfam family "Bacterial small subunit ribosomal RNA", at positions 219 to 980 of the family's 1533-position model. The record is from RNAcentral.